This 463-nucleotide ribosomal RNA is filed under the name uncultured bacterium. RNAcentral's name for it is "partial 16S ribosomal RNA". It matches the Rfam family "Bacterial small subunit ribosomal RNA", at positions 28 to 507 of the family's 1533-position model. The record is from RNAcentral.
GACGAACGCUGGCGGCGUGCUUAACACAUGCAAGUCGAACGGAAAGGCCUUUUCGUUGGUCCUCGAGUGGCGAACGGGUGCGUAACACGUGGGUGAUCUUCCCUUCACUCUGGGAUAAGCCUGGGUACCUGGGUCUAAUACCGGUUCGGACUGCUCUUUUGUGUGUGUGGUGUCAAGUUUUUUCGGUGUUGGAUGAGUCCGCUAGCUAUCAGCUUGCUGGUGGUGUAAUGGCCUACCAAGGCGGCGGCGGGUAGCCGGACUGAGCGGUUGAUCGGCCACAUUGGGACUGAGGGACGGCACAGACAGCGAAGGGAGGGAGAAGGGGGGAAGACUGAACAAGGGGCGCAAGCCUGAUGCAGAGAGGCCGCGGGGGGGAAGACGGUCUUAGGGUUGAAAAAUAAAUGCGCCAGGGACGAAGCGUGUUGUGACGGUACCUGGAGAAGAAGCACCGGCUAACUACGUG